GGGAGGCGUAUACAUGCAGUCGAGCGAGCUUGCCUAGAUGAUUUUAGUGCUUGCACUAAAUGAAACUAGAUACAAGCGAGCGGCGGACGGGUGAGUAACACGUGGGUAACCUGCCCAAGAGACUGGGAUAACACCUGGAAACAGAUGCUAAUACCGGAUAACAACACUAGACGCAUGUCUAGAGUUUGAAAGAUGGUUCUGCUAUCACUCUUGGAUGGACCUGCGGUGCAUUAGCUAGUUGGUAAGGUAACGGCUUACCAAGGCAAUGAUGCAUAGCCGAGUUGAGAGACUGAUCGGCCACAUUGGGACUGAGACACGGCCCAAACUCCUACGGGAGGCAGCAGUAGGGAAUCUUCCACAAUGGACGAAAGUCUGAUGGAGCAACGCCGCGUGAGUGAAGAAGGGUUUCGGCUCGUAAAGCUCUGUUGGUAGUGAAGAAAGAUAGAGGUAGUAACUGGCCUUUAUUUGACGGUAAUUACUUAGAAAGUCACGGCUAACUACGUGCCAGCAGCCGCGGUAAUACGUAGGUGGCAAGCGUUGUCCGGAUUUAUUGGGCGUAAAGCGAGUGCAGGCGGUUCAAUAAGUCUGAUGUGAAAGCCUUCGGCUCAACCGGAGAAUUGCAUCAGAAACUGUUGAACUUGAGUGCAGAAGAGGAGAGUGGAACUCCAUGUGUAGCGGUGGAAUGCGUAGAUAUAUGGAAGAACACCAGUGGCGAAGGCGGCUCUCUGGUCUGCAACUGACGCUGAGGCU
RNAcentral lists this ribosomal RNA (750 nucleotides) under uncultured bacterium. RNAcentral describes it as "bacterial SSU rRNA". It matches the Rfam family "Bacterial small subunit ribosomal RNA", at positions 42 to 753 of the family's 1533-position model. The record is from RNAcentral.